RNAcentral lists this ribosomal RNA (253 nucleotides) under uncultured bacterium. RNAcentral's name for it is "partial 16S ribosomal RNA". It matches the Rfam family "Bacterial small subunit ribosomal RNA", at positions 524 to 776 of the family's 1533-position model. The record is from RNAcentral.
UACGAAGGGUGCAAGCGUUACUCGGAAUUACUGGGCGUAAAGCGUGCGUAGGUGGUUUCUUAAGUCUGCUGUGAAAGCCCCGGGCUCAACCUGGGAAUUGCAGUGGAUACUGGGAAGCUAGAGUGCGGUAGAGGGUAGUGGAAUUCCACGUGUAGCAGUGAAAUGCGUAGAGAUGUGGAGGAAUACCGAUGGCGAAGGCAGCCCCCUGGGCCAAUACUGACGCUCAUGCACGAAAGCGUGGGGAGCAAACAGG